UGUUUUUCUUUCUGGGUCAAUGUAGGAUUCAAAGCUCUAUGAAUACACUUCAAUGCGAAAUUUAAAUGAAUCCAGACAAGGGUUUUGGGGUAAUCUUGCUAGAAAAGCUAAAUCUUUUGUCGAAGAUGAUAAUGCUCCUCAACAAGUGGAUUCACCUGGUAGAGACCGGCACCAUGUGCCUCAAGCUUCAAUUAAACCCAAGGUCAGAAUUCAAUCUAGGAUUGCAGCACUUGCCUUGUUGAAUACAAAAGUACCAGAAUCCAUACCCAUCUCAUGACAGCGAUCGAAAAACAGACAGUCCUAUAUUACAGAAGGGACUGAAAGCUAUCCCAUCUUCCCUAAAUUAUAUUGGUAAUGCUGUAGAGGAGGGUCUUACUAAGGUGGAGAAUCGGACUGCAGACAUUAUCCAAGAAACCUCUAAGCAUAUCAAGAAAAAGCUUAGUGGUGCUGCUACACAGAAUCAGGCAACUAGUUGUGGUAGCACAUGGCAACCCCAAAUACAGGCCCAAAAUCAAACUGACCAAGAACUUCAACUAAAAGCAUCUCGCGACGUAAGGUGGCAGCUGUGUCAAUGGUUCAUAUAAUGAAAAUAUAUUACAUGUGUGGGUUUCCCUAAACUUGUGCCAGCCAGAUUGAGUUGAAAACUGCCAGAUUGGCUUUUCUGCAUGCUACAAAAUAACAUUGAUUUAAUUCUAGGGCAGAGAAUGUUUAAUUUUUACCAUGUGGAUGUGGUAGAUGCUUCUAAGUUCUAUCCUGCUUCCUAGAGGUUUCUGCAUGUUCUUUGACUGUAGCUUUUUUAGAUCUAUAAAUUAACUAACUGCUCUGAUGAUUCAAUUUGUGUCGACCACCAAUGCUGUUCUUUUUGAUCAGUAUCCUACUGUUUCCAAUAUAAGGUCUUGUGAUAUUUUGGGAAUCCUUGUUACAAUGUUUAUGCUACAUGCGAGUAUGACACAGCUGUCUAUAGAUAGUUUUUAGUGAAACUGUUUCCAAUUUCAGACAAAACACGCCUUACACCCCAGAAUGGAACCUUUUACAGUCUCGCAAGUUCCAGUCAUAGCAGCAACAAAAAAUUGAAGAUAGAAUUGACUAGGAACCUAUAUAAGGGCUUUAGAUGAUAUGUAGAAUUACUUGUUAUGCAAUCCUAAUUUUGAUUUGUUUUCUUUGUGAGAGGUAUGAUCUGCUGUUGAUUUGUGUUGCAGGUUGCAAUGGCUAUGGCUGCCAAGGCAAAGCUUCUUCUUCGAGAGUUAAAAACUUCUAAAGCGGAUUUGGCUUUUGCUAAGGGGCGAUGUGCUCAGCUGGAGGAGGAAAAUAAACUCCUUCGAAAGAAUCAUGAAAGGGGGGACAAUCCAGAAGAUGAUGAUUUGCUACAGGCUACAGCAAUCUGGCAACUCUCACCUCAUACCCAUGCAUGCUCAGCAAGAUGAGGAAUAUGUAUGUAAUUUUUUUGUUUUUGGAAUUUUUUUUUUGGUUGGGGGGGGAAGGGCCCCCCUCAACCUACAUGUCGGUCUACCCUAGGCAUUUGUAGCAUAUCGCCAUGAGCAGCUCUAAUUUCCAAUUCUGGAAACAACUUUAUUUGAUAUUGUUUUGGGAAGAGUCCAGCUCUUGAUAGAUUGUAUCUUUCCUUAAAAAGCUACCUAUGUCUAAUUUAGCAAUAUGAUUGAAUGGAGUUUAUGCA
Molecule: RNA transcript, 1675 nt
Organism: Hevea brasiliensis (rubber tree)
Lineage: Eukaryota; Viridiplantae; Streptophyta; Magnoliopsida; Malpighiales; Euphorbiaceae
Exons: 4
Source: RefSeq, a predicted model, not a curated record